Sphenodon punctatus (tuatara) is the source of this 68-nucleotide microRNA precursor. Ensembl annotates it as microRNA 145. Its record names the gene MIR145. NCBI's taxonomy places the organism in Eukaryota, Metazoa, Chordata, Lepidosauria, Sphenodontia, Sphenodontidae. The record is from Ensembl.
CUCAGGGUCCAGUUUUCCCAGGAAUCCCUUAGAUGCUAAGAUGGGGAUUCCUGGAAAUACUGUUCUUG